CUCGUAGGCGGCCACUCAAGUCGAAUGUGAAACCUCGAGGCUCAACCUCGAGCCUGCAUUCGAUACUGGGCGGCUAGAGUCUGGUAGGGGGAUCUGGAAUUCCUGGUGUAGCGGUGGAAUGCGCAGAUAUCAGGAGGAACACCGGUGGCGAAGGCGGGAUCCUGGGCCAGUACUGACGCUGAGGAGCGAAAGCGUGGGGAGCAAACA
Molecule: ribosomal RNA, 207 nt
Filed under: uncultured bacterium
Lineage: Bacteria
Description: partial 16S ribosomal RNA
Rfam family: Bacterial small subunit ribosomal RNA
Source: RNAcentral